RNAcentral lists this long non-coding RNA (222 nucleotides) under Carica papaya (papaya). RNAcentral describes it as "long non-coding RNA (CPAP_LNC008578)". The record is from RNAcentral. Lineage: Eukaryota; Viridiplantae; Streptophyta; Magnoliopsida; Brassicales; Caricaceae.
GUAAUCUAACUAUGAUUAUAUUAAUCAUUAACAUUGUGAUUAAUUACUUGAUUUGUGAGAAAAAUAAUGUGUGCCGAGACAUGAUGGGUCGAGGCCUGUAGACCUUUAGGUUGGGCUUAAAUCCCAUAAUGGACUAAGCCAUUACCAUGGGUAAAAACAUAAAAUGGAUAAAUGAAAGGGGCUUAAAAAUAUAAUCAAAUUGGGUUCAAAUAUAAUGGGCUU